Molecule: ribosomal RNA, 494 nt
Filed under: uncultured bacterium
Lineage: Bacteria
Description: partial 16S ribosomal RNA
Rfam family: Bacterial small subunit ribosomal RNA
Source: RNAcentral
GACGAACGCUGGCGGCGUGCUUAACACAUGCAAGUCGAACGGAAAGGCCUGCUUUCCCUUGGGGAUUGCGGGUACUCGAGUGGCGAACGGGUGAGUAACACGUGAGUUAUCUGCCCCCAACUUAGGUAUAAGCCUGGGAAACUUGGUCUAAUUCCCGAUAGUACUGCAGGGUGGUGCCUGUUGUUGAAUACGAUGUUCUAGUGGUUGAGGAUGAGCUCGCGGCCUAUCAGCUUGUUGGUGGGGUAAUGGCCCACCAAGGCGGCGACCGGUAGCCGUAACGAGAGGGUGGGCGGACAAAUUGAGAAUGGGAGACCGGACAGACUACUGCGGGAGGCAGCAGGGGGGAAUAACAGACCAUGGGAGGAAGGCUGAGGCAGCGAAGCAGCGUGGGGGAAGACGGACUGAGGGUUGUAAACUACUAUCGAACGAGAGGAAGCAGCGUGGUUGGAAGGGUGGUGACGGUAGUGGGAGAAGAAGCCCCGGCUAAGUACGUG